RNAcentral lists this unclassified non-coding RNA (363 nucleotides) under fungal sp. RNAcentral describes it as "partial internal transcribed spacer region". The stretch from base 1 to 46 matches the Rfam family "Eukaryotic small subunit ribosomal RNA", at positions 1786 to 1831 of the family's 1831-position model. The record is from RNAcentral. Lineage: Eukaryota; Fungi.
AAGUCGUAACAAGGUCUCCGUAGGUGAACCUGCGGAGGGAUCAUUAACACGUUUUAAAACACGUUUUAACUAUAAACCAACCAACCACGUGAACUAUUUAACACUCCUGGAAGAGAAAGAAUUCUGUCUCCUCUCACUAAUGAUAAGCUUCGCAAGAAGCAGUGAGUUUAGACUAACAUUGCAGUUAAGAGCUGACUUGUAAAGACCUUUCACUUUUGGGCUAAAUGCUCCUAUUAUCAUUCGAGCGAAAACAACCCCUUUCACCAUUUCUAUAACUAUUGACUGAUCUUUUUCUUUGCAACAUAAGAAAAAACUUAAUCAAAUAUCUAAGCACAACUCUUAGCAACGGAUCUCUUGGCUCUC